ACCUGGCUGGCUCAGUUGGUAGAGUAUGUGACUCUUGAUCUCAGGGUCAUGAGUUCGAGCCCCAUAUUGGGCA
This 73-nucleotide transfer RNA is filed under the name Canis lupus familiaris (dog). It matches the Rfam family "tRNA". Rfam says of the family: Transfer RNA (tRNA) molecules are approximately 80 nucleotides in length. The record is from Rfam by way of RNAcentral. RNAcentral also lists the same sequence under 1 other name. Lineage: Eukaryota; Metazoa; Chordata; Mammalia; Carnivora; Canidae.